This 693-nucleotide long non-coding RNA is filed under the name Oryza sativa Indica Group (long-grained rice). RNAcentral's name for it is "lncRNA OsMH63_06G010250". The record is from RNAcentral. Lineage: Eukaryota; Viridiplantae; Streptophyta; Magnoliopsida; Poales; Poaceae.
GGACGACGCCACAGCUUGCUGAGGAACGCGUCGCUCUUGCGCAGCUCCCUCCAGCGUCGCUUCACGGCACGCGAGCUGCGACCGUCGUCGAGGCGCAGGCAGAGGCGGGCGAGCUCGGCGUCGUCGUCGGCGGUGAAAGGGCGGUGGAAGACGUCGCGGGCGAGGUGGUCCCUCCACCUGUCGCGGCACUGCGCGGGCGAGCGGCGGCUGCUGUGGCGCGGCAUCUGCGCCGCCACGCGGCGCCAGUGGCGGGAGCCGUGCUCCAUGGCGAGGCGCUCCAGGACGGCGUCCAACUCGGGCGUCCACGCUGGCGGGAGCCUGAUGCGGACGACGCACCUCCCGAGCGGCGGCGACGUCGCAGAUGAAGAAGCGAAGACGGAGGCGGCAGAGGAGGAGGAGGAGAGCUCCAUGUCCAUGGCGUGCGGCGUCAAUCGAAUCAGAAGGUGGGGCGGAAGUGUUACUCCGACAACCGUGAGUGGCGGCAGAGCGGCUAGGAUCACACAGAGCCCAAAAACUAACUGUGCGGCGUGCUGUGGAGGUCGAGGGAAUAGUGAAGCUCCGACCACUAUACGCAUCGAGGCGUGGGGUGCCAGGAGCAGCACUUCGACCUUGGGUUUAGGUUUUGCUGGGCUUUACAACCAACGGUCCGACGUCGGGGAUAGUAAACCGCGAGCGUCCCCAUGGAAGGCGUAA